UUUUGCUUUAAUUCUAUUGUGCAGUUAUUUGUUACCCUGAAAUGCUUUAUGCUUAACAACAGCUCACCAUUUUAACUUAUUUUUGAACUCUUGUGAUCAGUAUGACUAGAUUGUGUGAGUUUCCAUACUAAAAGAGCUGUAGUGAUAAAAUAAUUGGCAUCAGAGACACUGAUUUUGGCAUGGUAUACUGCAGAAGUUUUUUUUUUUUUUUUUUGUGCAUAAUCUACCUUUUAAUUAAACUGCAUUCUCUGUAUUGUAACAAAACUAACAUUGUUUAUAUGUCAGAAAAUUAGCAAACAUGAAUAAAUGGCGAAAACAAUAUAAUUAUAACAUAUAUUUUUAUUUUACUUAUUUUAGGUCUGUGAUGCCAAACUUGAUGCUGGGGAUUUAUUUUUGUCAGUGGAGUCAAAUGGUUGAAGCAGAAUUUGCCUGUCUUACAUCUGUUGACCUGAAAGGGUUCCUUUUGCUGUGCUUGACCAUUAUGGAGAGGUUCGUGGAGCUGUUCAAAAUCAAGAGCGGCAUAGGAGGGCUAACUAGGCUCAUAAGAUGCUUCGGUGAUGAUAGCCCUACACAAAGGAAGAGGACAGAGGACCUCAUUUUCUAAAGGAAGAUCCCUCACACACUUUCAAGACUGUGAAGGUUAGCAUUGUUUCUUUUAGUAAAUUUAAUAAUGACAGCACCACAGUGGAUUUUAAAUUAAACAUGUGGCAUCUAUGAAACAAUAGAUGCCACAUGAUAACAUGUGUACUUUUU
Oreochromis aureus is the source of this 753-nucleotide long non-coding RNA. The record is from Ensembl. NCBI's taxonomy places the organism in Eukaryota, Metazoa, Chordata, Actinopteri, Cichliformes, Cichlidae.